ACUCCUACGGGAGGCAGCAGUGGGGAAUAUUGCACAAUGGGCGCAAGCCUGAUGCAGCAACGCCGCGUGAGGGACGACGGCCUUCGGGUUGUAAACCUCUUUUAGUAGGGAAGAAGCGAAAGUGACGGUACCUGCAGAAAAAGCACCGGCUAACUACGUGCCAGCAGCCGCGGUAAUACGUAGGGUGCAAGCGUUAUCCGGAAUUAUUGGGCGUAAAGAGCUCGUAGGCGGUUUGUCGCGUCUGCUGUGAAAACUGGGGGCUCAACCCCCAGCCUGCAGUGGGUACGGGCAGACUAGAGUGCGGUAGGGGAGAUUGGAAUUCCUGGUGUAGCGGUGGAAUGCGCAGAUAUCAGGAGGAACACCGAUGGCGAAGGCAGAUCUCUGGGCCGUAACUGACGCUGAGGAGCGAAAGCAUGGGGAGCGAACAGGAUUAGAUACCCUGGUAGUCCAUGCCGUAAACGUUGGGAACUAGAUGUAGGGUCCAUUCCACGGAUUCUGUGUCGCAGCUAACGCAUUAAGUUCCCCGCCUGGGGAGUACGGCCGCAAGGCUAAAACUCAAAGGAAUUGACGGGGGCCCGCACAAGCGGCGGAGCAUGCGGAUUAAUUCGAUGCAACGCGAAGAAUCUUACCAAGGCUUGACAUAUACCGGAAAAGGCUGGAAACAGUCUCCCCGCAAGGUCGGUAUACAGGUGGUGCAUGGUUGUCGUCAGCUCGUGUCGUGAGAUGUUGGGUUAAGUCCCGCAACGAGCGCAACCCUCGUUCUAUGUUGCCAGCACGUAAUGGUGGGAACUCAUAGGAGACUGCCGGGGUCAACUCGGA
Molecule: ribosomal RNA, 819 nt
Filed under: uncultured Actinomycetes bacterium
Lineage: Bacteria; Bacillati; Actinomycetota; Actinomycetes
Description: bacterial SSU rRNA
Rfam family: Bacterial small subunit ribosomal RNA
Source: RNAcentral